Molecule: long non-coding RNA, 1125 nt
Organism: Biomphalaria glabrata
Lineage: Eukaryota; Metazoa; Mollusca; Gastropoda; Planorbidae
Exons: 4
Source: RefSeq, a predicted model, not a curated record
UCAUAUGUGGGGGCCAACAGAGUUCGAAAGAGUAGUCUACAUAAACCACAACGCUCGUGGGCUUGGUCGCAUCAUAUGCUGUACAUGUAGGAUUUGUUACUGUUAUAAUUCGUUUGUAAUACCUUAUGCAGGUACCAUAAUUCCCCUUGGUCGCUUGAUGACGUUCGAAUUGUAGGCUCUUCUUAAAUCUAUUUAGUGGCCUUAAAUUAACGAGUUGAUCAGAAAUAUUUUGAACGGAAAAUUAAAAUAGUAAUAGACAUUGAUUAGGCUUCUAACAUAUCUUAUCUUAUAAGAUACAGGCGUGACUUCGAAAAACGUGCUUGUUUACAAAGUCGCAAGUGAGUACACUGUAAGGCCAAUUAGACUCGUUGGUGAAGAAGCCGUUACCUUUUCAAGAAUCCGGCUGAACAAGCACUUAUGAGAGUCGCUGGGGGGGGGGGGGGGGGGCUCUAGCGCUGUCUGUGACUGUGAUUAGGCUUCCAGCAUAUUGAGUAACAAGUUCUGAAUUGUGAAAACUAUUUACUAAGUCGAGAGUGUGUACACUGGAACGUCAAAUAGGCUCGUUGAUGAAGGAGCCGUUACCGUAGCAACAAUGCGGCUAUACAAGCACUUAUGACAGAGUCGCUAGUGGCUGUAGCGCUGUCUGUGACUGUGCUGUUGGCAGGACCUAAGAGUGGCUCUCAAGACGACGAUCUCGACUGUUGCAGGGAUGGUAAUGUGCCUUAAUUUAGGGACAUUCUGAAAUGAUACUCUACUCCUGAGUUCCCAGGGCUUCACUUGUAAGGUUGCCAACCCCUGCCCUAGAUGAACCCUGUAAAACCCACAACUGACACUGUAACAGCAUGGAAACCUUCACCCAGACAUCACCCUUCCCAAGAUGUCCAGAAAAAAAGAUUCUACUGUAGCCACUGAGCAUGCUACUAGCACGCCCAGGAAGUCUUCCAAGACUACUUCAUAGCCCAAGAAACAAAGUCUUCCAAGACUAUUUCUAACAACAACAAAACUCAUAAGAAAAAAAUGUGGGAUCUUAAUUCCUGCGAAUUUCAAUUCACUGCAAAAUGGUAGACCUUUUUUGUGUGUGUGUGUGCUCACCAUCUUCUGUCCAGAACUUAGUUCUCUUGUACU